This 900-nucleotide long non-coding RNA is filed under the name Brachypodium distachyon (stiff brome). RNAcentral describes it as "long non-coding RNA (BDIS_LNC000362)". Lineage: Eukaryota; Viridiplantae; Streptophyta; Magnoliopsida; Poales; Poaceae. The record is from RNAcentral.
AUGGGCACCCAUUGCCAUCGCCGCACAAGUUGAGUUGAGUCAACCACUCACCACAUCAAACCCCUCCCAGACCCAUUAAAGCAUGCCGGUAGGAUUUACCGGAUUUGACCGGACCAAAAAAUGUGGAGAUUUCAGAGUAGAUGUAACGGUAUCCUUUUACUCAUAUGAAGGACUCAUUUACUCCUAUAAAAGACUCCCUCGGUGCGACUUUUUGUCAUGCCUUCAGAUUGCAUCACUUAUUAAUUUGGCAUGAAUAGAUGAGAACAAACAUGAACUAUAUGAUUUAAGAUAAUAAUACAACAUCCCUUUUAAAUUUGUAGUCUAAUUUUCUAAUCCGUAGCAUUGUACGGGUAUUGUGCUAGUGAGACUGAGAAAGAGAGAGUUCUGCAUGUCUUGAUGUUUCAACUCGCGGUUUGCAUGGUCCAUUUUGUCUGGGCUGAGAAUGGCAGGGUCUAGAAAUAGUGAGCGGUCAAUUCCAAACUUAUAAGUACGGAGUAGAAAAGAUGCCACGCACUGUGAAUUUUACCUGCCCUGCACUGCUCGCCAAACAAUCCAGCGAAUUUCAACGUUCCCGGCAGCAGGAGCCGAAAUUUCCGUGACACACACAGACCCGGUCUGGGUGUAGAUUUCCCGACGUCAGCCCAAAGUGCAAGCACGAUCCAACGUAGAUCUCUUCGUUGAUUUCCCUAUCUUUCUUUUAAGUUCUUUUCCAUCAGCAGCGCUUGGCGCGCUUCACCUGGCUGACGACGCUCCAAACGCCAAAGUUCCCCGUGCCUGAGGUAAUUAACGCACCGAAACUCCGAAAGAGAGAUUCGACAACACCGCGGGACGAAAACAGUUUGUCAAACAACGAUUCACGCGCGGAUGAUCGCCUUUCGAUCUGUACUAGUUUAAUUUCUC